Molecule: ribosomal RNA, 248 nt
Filed under: uncultured bacterium
Lineage: Bacteria
Description: partial 16S ribosomal RNA
Rfam family: Bacterial small subunit ribosomal RNA
Source: RNAcentral
UUCCUACGGGGGGCAGCAGUGGGGAAUAUUGGGCAAUGGGCGCAAGCCUGACCCAGCAACGCCGCGUGAAGGAAGAAGGCUUUCGGGAUGUAAACUUCUUUUAUCAGGGACGAAGAAAGUGACGGUACCUGAUGAAUAAGCCACGGCUAACUACGUGCCAGCAGCCGCGGUAAUACGUAGGCGGCAAGCGUUGUCCGGAUUUAAUGGGUGUAAAGGGCGUGUAGGCGGGAGUGCAAGGCAGAUGUGAA